UGCGUAGGCGGGUCUUUAAGUCAGGGGUGAAAUCCUGGAGCUCAACUCCAGAACUGCCUUUGAUACUGAAGAUCUUGAGUUCGGGAGAGGUGAGUGGAACUGCGAGUGUAGAGGUGAAAUUCGUAGAUAUUCGCAAGAACACCAGUGGCGAAGGCGGCUCACUGGCCCGAUACUGACGCUGAGGCACGAAAGCGUGGGGGAGCAAACA
RNAcentral lists this ribosomal RNA (208 nucleotides) under uncultured bacterium. RNAcentral's name for it is "partial 16S ribosomal RNA". It matches the Rfam family "Bacterial small subunit ribosomal RNA", at positions 568 to 774 of the family's 1533-position model. The record is from RNAcentral.